Molecule: long non-coding RNA, 640 nt
Organism: Orcinus orca (killer whale)
Lineage: Eukaryota; Metazoa; Chordata; Mammalia; Artiodactyla; Delphinidae
Exons: 5
Source: RefSeq, a predicted model, not a curated record
CUGAGGAUACAGCAAGAAGGUGGCCAUCUAUAAGGCAGGAAGAGGGCCUUCACCAAGAACCGAAUCUGUUGGCACCUUGAUCUCAGACUUCCCAGGUUGCAGAACUGACCAUAUGGAGGAAAUGUCUGAGGAAAUGGUGAAAUGAAAGAGAUAAUUUGUGAACUUGGCUGAAAGGCUAUGCAAUUCUUCCUCAAGCUUUUUCAAAUUGUCACAAAUCUAAAAAAAUAAAUUCCAAUAUGUUCACUGGAAAGAAUUCACAUAUAAGUGAACCAUGCCGUUCAAACCUGUGUUAUUCAAGGGUCAACUGUGUAAAGAAAACUCCAGGCUCAAAGUGGAUCAAUGGCAGAAAACCAGAGUGAACAGUCUAUCUGGAUCAAAGCCAAGCUCUCAAGAUAAAAAGUCAAGAGGGAAGGAAAAACUCAUCAGGUUUUUGGUGACCCUCAGCAGAAUUCGUCCAAAUGGACACCUGAGUAAGAAGAGCAAAUCCACGGGUCUGUGAGACACUGGUGGAUAAAAAGCAAAACCGGCGCAAAAGAGAAACCGCAGCAGCGAAACCGCAGGAGAGCUGGGCUGUGCAGCCAGGCGCAGGCAGCGAAGACGCAGGCGCAAAGGAGGGGUACCUGAUGGGAGGGGUACCUGA